RNAcentral lists this long non-coding RNA (672 nucleotides) under Gallus gallus (chicken). Its description in RNAcentral is "long non-coding RNA NONGGAT003567". The record is from RNAcentral. Lineage: Eukaryota; Metazoa; Chordata; Aves; Galliformes; Phasianidae.
AGAUGGCGGGGCAGGUGCCAGAAUGAAAGAUAAAUUUCCUUUUGCAUAAAGAAGAAAUAUUGAAGGAAACUGAGCAGAGGUGAUGGAGAAAUUAGAGCGUUGAAAGACCCUGAAAGCACGCGGUCCAUGUCAGCCCUCUCUCAGGAUUUUCAGCUGAGUCAGCAGAAAGCAGGAAAAACUGUUGCGGGAAAUGAGAACCUCUUUGAAGACCAGUAAUGGAGAGGUUCCUGCAAGUGUCACGUCCAGAGGUCUGAGGAAAGCCUUCCAGGAAUUAAAGUUGGUGGUGCAGAAGGUACCUCUGCGUGGCUGAGUGGCCAACGUGCAUCGUAAUCUGGGACUGCAGUAGAGACAUAGUUAGAAGUUAUGAAUGUAAUGAAGGGAAACCAUCAAAGAUUCAGAAAUUGGAAGCUGGGCCAAUAAUGGGAGAGGAAAACGGACAGAGGGUUUCUGAGGAGUUUGUGCAAAUCAUGAGCCAGGGAGAGCCAAGAGAUACAACUUGUGCAGUGGCAGCAAAGGUUGGGUGUAACACGUUCAAAAAGCAUAACAUGGAGUGGAAGUGAUGAGUGUGGGACAUGGAAGCGCCUGGUGGAGCUCUGAGCUGGUGGUACACACAGAGCUGCUGGAAGCCUCCUGCCCUCCUACAGCGGAGGAACGUGGCAGCCUGCACCCACG